This is a long non-coding RNA of Triticum aestivum (bread wheat), 1237 nucleotides long. RefSeq lists it as uncharacterized. The transcript has 3 exons. The record is from RefSeq and is a predicted model, not a curated record. NCBI's taxonomy places the organism in Eukaryota, Viridiplantae, Streptophyta, Magnoliopsida, Poales, Poaceae.
AGGAUCGGGUUUGGAUUCGGACCUGGUCACCCGGGCACAGCACAGUGACUCACUUGAAAGGCAAGGAGCGUCACCGCUUUCGGGAAAGAAUCAAACCACCCACCCCGCCGCCGCCGAGUUUCGGCCGAACCGAGAGCGCAUCCCGCGGGCUCGGCGUACGUGCGCCGUCGACGGCACGGCCGGCCGCACCCAGCGCUCGGCCAGUCCCCACCGCGGGCGUCUGCUCGGAAGAUGAAAUCUGUGCUGGACAGACUCAUGGCGACAUGACUAUCGGUUGAUGUUAUUGGCAUUCACAGAUAUAAUCACAGGAAAAUGCAGUCUCUGCAGUUCCAGAAAAGGGUAGGAUUCCUUAAGUAGGCCUUCCCUACAUGUUCCCUUAGCAGAAGAGCACAAGCUCACUUUCAACGGCACUGAAAAGAAGCAUGUUCAGAUUUGAAUUACCUAUUCUAGCAACGUUGUUGCCCUGGUCAAAAUCCAUUUCCUGCUUCCUUUGAACACUUGCUUCUCAGUGGUCAGUGCCAUGAUGUAAGAGCUAAUGGUAGGGGCUAUCAGGUACCCGGUCGUCACAGUAGCAUAAUGUAAGCUCUAAUAAAACCCGGCCUGUGCGGGAAAGACAGCUCCGGCGGUAUUUUUAGAAGGCAAGAAACCCCCCGAAUGCGCCACACGGCUGCUCAACCUCAGACGGAGAGUAAUAAACCCGGACGGAGAAACUGGUAGGAAAGCGAGUCCUGAAAUGGGCCACGCCCCGAGGAGGUUGGUCUCUGCCCUCUAUGUAAAGCCACCAUGGGUGCCAAUUGAAGUGAGAAUCGGUCAGAAGUGGAGACGAGCAAAUGUUUUAAGGCAAGCUGAUCGCAGGGGACUCUGUCUUGUGAGCAUCAGAGGGCCGGCGCCCGAGUCUGACCCUAUAAUGGUACCGCUAUCAACGAUCCGGAUACCUUCCGACCCACCUGUCGCCAGAAAAAGACCAGACACUCGCCCUAAUUUCCGAGUGAAGAAGCCCAGGGACGCUGGUGACGCCGCCGAAGGCAGCAGCGAGUAGGCUGCUGGCUCACUGUUCAAGUGUUCAUUCACUGUGUGAUAGCUUAUGCUUGAUCUGUAUGUAAGUUGGAAAAGAAGUCUUUUUCUUCUUCAUGGACAGAUGCUGUGAUGUGUGAUUCUGUAUGAAACAAAUUUGUCUGAACGUACCAACUGCAGUUCAGACUUGCUUUAUUGUCAGUAAAAUCAGGGGUUCAAGGCA